Molecule: ribosomal RNA, 440 nt
Filed under: uncultured bacterium
Lineage: Bacteria
Description: partial 16S ribosomal RNA
Rfam family: Bacterial small subunit ribosomal RNA
Source: RNAcentral
CCUACGGGUGGCAGCAGUGGGGAAUAUUGCACAAUGGGGGAAACCCUGAUGCAGCGACGCCGCGUGAGUGAAGAAGUAUCUCGGUUUGUAAAGCUCUAUCAGCAGGGAAGAAAAUGACGUUACCUGAUCACGAAUCCCCGGCUAACUACGUGCCAGCAGCCGCGGUAAUACGUAGGGGGCAAGCGUUAUCCGGAUUUACUGGGAGUAAAGGGAACGUAGACGGCAGCACAAGUCUGGAGUGAAAUGCCGGGGGUUAACCCAGGAACUGCUUUGGAAACUGUGCAGCUAGAGUGUAGGAGAGGGAAGUGGAAUUCCUGGUGUAGCGGUGAAAUGCGUAGAUAUUAGGAGGAACACCAGUGGCGAAGGCGGCUUACUGGACUGUAACUGACGUUGAGGCUCGAAAGCGUGGGGAGCAAACAGGAUUAGAUACCCUUGUAGUC